GCGGUAAUAGCUCAGUUGGUAGAGCGUUNNCAAGCCGAAGGUCGCGGGUCCGAGUCCCGUUUACCGCUCCA
RNAcentral lists this transfer RNA (71 nucleotides) under Prevotella sp. Its description in RNAcentral is "tRNA-OTHER". It matches the Rfam family "tRNA". Rfam says of the family: Transfer RNA (tRNA) molecules are approximately 80 nucleotides in length. Their secondary structure includes four short double-helical elements and three loops (D, anti-codon, and T loops). Lineage: Bacteria; Pseudomonadati; Bacteroidota; Bacteroidia; Bacteroidales; Prevotellaceae. The record is from RNAcentral.